This 71-nucleotide transfer RNA is filed under the name zebrafish metagenome. It matches the Rfam family "tRNA". Rfam says of the family: Transfer RNA (tRNA) molecules are approximately 80 nucleotides in length. Their secondary structure includes four short double-helical elements and three loops (D, anti-codon, and T loops). The record is from RNAcentral.
GCGGUAUAGCUCAGCUGGUUAGAGCAGCGGAAUCAUAAUCCGUUUGUCGUUGGUUCGAGUCCGACUACCGC